GACGAACGCUGGCGGCGUGCUUAACACAUGCAAGUCGAACGGAAAGGCCCUGCUUUUGUGGGGUGCUCGAGUGGCGAACGGGUGAGUAACACGUGAGUAACCUGCCCUUGACUUUGGGAUAACUUCAGGAAACUGGGGCUAAUACCGGAUAGGAUCUCCUGCUGCAUGGUGGGGGUUGGAAAGUUUCGGCGGUUGGGGAUGGACUCGCGGCUUAUCAGCUUGUUGGUUGGGUAGUGGCUUACCAAGGCUUUGACGGGUAGCCGGCCUGAGAGGGUGACCGGCGACAAUGGGACUGAGAUACGGAGCAGACGCCUACGGGAGGCAGCAGGGGGGAAUAUUGCACAAUGGGCGGAAGCCUGAGGCAGAAACGCCGCGUGCGGGAUGACGGCCUUCGGGGUGUAAACAGCUUUCGCCUGUGACGAAGCGUGAGUGACGGUAAUGGGUAAAGAAGCACCGGCUAACUACGUG
This 468-nucleotide ribosomal RNA is filed under the name uncultured bacterium. Its description in RNAcentral is "partial 16S ribosomal RNA". It matches the Rfam family "Bacterial small subunit ribosomal RNA", at positions 28 to 507 of the family's 1533-position model. The record is from RNAcentral.